RNAcentral lists this ribosomal RNA (268 nucleotides) under Prasinoderma coloniale. RNAcentral's name for it is "partial Eukaryotic small subunit ribosomal RNA". It matches the Rfam family "Eukaryotic small subunit ribosomal RNA", at positions 74 to 344 of the family's 1831-position model. Lineage: Eukaryota; Viridiplantae; Prasinodermophyta; Prasinodermophyceae; Prasinodermales; Prasinodermaceae. The record is from RNAcentral.
UUAUACGGUGAAGCUGCGAAUGGCUCAUUAAAUCAGUCAUAGUUUAUUUGAUGGUACCCUACUACAUGGAUAACUGUGGUAAUUCUAGAGCUAAUACAUGCUAAAAACCCCGACUUCAGGAAGGGGUGUAUUUAUUAGAUAAAAAACCAACGCCCUUCGGGGCUCCUUGGUGAAUCAUAAUAACUUAACGAAUCGCAUGGCCUUGCGCCGGCGAUGCUUCAUUCAAAUAUCUGCCCUAUCAACUUUCGAUGGUAGGAUAGAGGCCUAC